RNAcentral lists this ribosomal RNA (497 nucleotides) under uncultured bacterium. Its description in RNAcentral is "partial 16S ribosomal RNA". It matches the Rfam family "Bacterial small subunit ribosomal RNA", at positions 28 to 507 of the family's 1533-position model. The record is from RNAcentral.
GACGAACGCUGGCGGCGUGCCUAAUACAUGCAAGUUGAGCGCUGAAGGUUGGUCCUUGUACCAACUGGAUGAGCAGCGAACGGGUGAGUAACGCGUGGGGAAUCUGCCUUUGAGCGGGGGACAACAUUUGGAAACGAAUGCUAAUACCGCAUAAAAACUUUCAACACAAGUUUUAAGUUUGAAAGAUGCUAUUGCAUCACUCAAAGAUGAUCCCGCGUUGUAUUAGCUAGUUGGUGAGGUAAAGGCUCACCAAGGCGAUGAUACAUAGCCGACCUGAGAGGGGGAGCGGCCACAUUGGGACUGAAACAAGGCCCAAACUCCUACGGGAGGCAGCAGUAGGGAAUCUUCGGCAAUGGACGAAAGUCUGACCGAGCAACGCCGCGUGAGUGAAGAAGGUUUUAGGAUCGUAAAACUCUGUUGGUAGAGAAGAACGUUGGUGAGAGUGGAAAGCUCAUAAAGUGACGGUAACUACCCAGAAAGGGACGGCUAACUACGUG